GCUCCCAUGGCGUAGUGGUCACUGCGCUCGCCUUGCACGCGGGAGACCCGGGUUCGAUUCCCGGUGGGUUUG
RNAcentral lists this transfer RNA (72 nucleotides) under Diaphorina citri (Asian citrus psyllid). It matches the Rfam family "tRNA". From Rfam's summary of the family: Transfer RNA (tRNA) molecules are approximately 80 nucleotides in length. Their secondary structure includes four short double-helical elements and three loops (D, anti-codon, and T loops). Lineage: Eukaryota; Metazoa; Arthropoda; Insecta; Hemiptera; Psyllidae. The record is from Rfam by way of RNAcentral.